GACGAACGCUGGCGGCGUGCCUAAUACAUGCCAGUUGAGCGAUGAAGCUUGGUGCUUGCCCCAAUUUGAAGAGCAGCGAACGGGUGAGUAACGCGUGGGGAAUCUGCCUUUGAGCGGGGGACAACAUUUGGAAACGAAUGCUAAUACCGCAUAACAACUUUAAACAUAAGUUUUAAGUUUGAAAGAUGCAAUUGCAUCACUCAAAGAUGAUCCCGCGUUGUAUUAGCUAGUUGGUGAGGUAAAGGCUCACCAAGGCGAUGAUACAUAGCCGACCUGAGAGGGUGAUCGGCCACAUUGGGACUGAGACACGGCCCAAACUCCUACGGGAGGCAGCAGUAGGGAAUCUUCGGCAAUGGACGAAAGUCUGACCGAGCAACGCCGCGUGAGUGAAGAAGGGUUUCGGAUCGUAAAACUCGGUUGGUAGAGAAGAACGUUGGUGAGAGUGGAAAGCUCAUCAAGUGACGGUAACUACCCAGAAAGGGACGGCUAACUACGUG
This 497-nucleotide ribosomal RNA is filed under the name uncultured bacterium. RNAcentral's name for it is "partial 16S ribosomal RNA". It matches the Rfam family "Bacterial small subunit ribosomal RNA", at positions 28 to 507 of the family's 1533-position model. The record is from RNAcentral.